CCUACGGGAGGCAGCAGUGAGGAAUAUUGGUCAAUGGGAGAGAUCCUGAACCAGCCAAGCCGCGUGAGGGAAGACGGCCCUAUGGGUUAUAAACCUCUUUUGUCGGAGAACAAAACCCGGGACGUGUCCCGGACUGCGUGUAUCCGAAGAAAAAGCAUCGGCUAACUCCGUGCCAGCAGCCGCGGUAAUACGGAGGAUGCGAGCGUUAUCCGGAUUUAUUGGGGUUAAAGGGUGCGUAGGCGGUCCGUUAAGUCAGCGGUAAAAGUGCGGGGCUCAACCCUGUCGAGCCGUUGAAACUGGCAGACUUGAGUUGGCGAGAAGUACGCGGAAUGCGCGGUGUAGCGGUGAAAUGCAUAGAUAUCGCGCAGAACUCCGAUUGCGAAGGCAGCGUACCGGCGCCAGACUGACGCUGAGGCACGAAAGCGUGGGGAUCGAACAGGAUUAGAUACCCUUGUAGUC
This 459-nucleotide ribosomal RNA is filed under the name uncultured bacterium. Its description in RNAcentral is "partial 16S ribosomal RNA". It matches the Rfam family "Bacterial small subunit ribosomal RNA", at positions 338 to 795 of the family's 1533-position model. The record is from RNAcentral.